This 503-nucleotide ribosomal RNA is filed under the name uncultured bacterium. Its description in RNAcentral is "partial 16S ribosomal RNA". It matches the Rfam family "Bacterial small subunit ribosomal RNA", at positions 29 to 507 of the family's 1533-position model. The record is from RNAcentral.
ACGAACGCUGGCGGCGUGCUUAACACAUGCAAGUCGAACGGUGAAGCGCUUGCCUUUUUGGUGGGUGUGGAUGAGUGGCGAACGGGUGAGUAACACGUGAGUAACCUGCCCUCUUCUUCUGGAUAACCUCAUGAAAGUGGGGCUAAUACGGGGUAUUCCGGGUCUGUCGCAUGGCGGGUUUGGGAAAGAUUGCGCCUUUGGGUGUUUUCGGUGGGGGAUGGGCUCGCGGCCUAUCAGCUUGUUGGUGGGGUGAUGGCCUACCAAGGCGGUGACGGGUAGCCGGCCUGAGAGGGUGGACGGCCACACUGGGACUGAGACACGGCCCAGACUCCUGCGGGAGGCAGCAGUGGGGAAGAUUGCACAAUGGGCGCAAGCCUGAUGCAGCGACGCCGCGUGAGGGAUGGAGGCCUUCGGGUUGUGAACCUCUUUCGCCAGUGAAGCAGGCCUGCUCCUGUGUGGGUGGGUUGACGGUAGCUGGAUAAGAAGCGCCGGCUAACUACGUG